RNAcentral lists this ribosomal RNA (253 nucleotides) under uncultured bacterium. RNAcentral describes it as "partial 16S ribosomal RNA". It matches the Rfam family "Bacterial small subunit ribosomal RNA", at positions 524 to 776 of the family's 1533-position model. The record is from RNAcentral.
UACGAAGGGGGCUAGCGUUGUUCGGAAUUACUGGGCGUAAAGCGCACGUAGGCGGAUAUUUAAGUCAGGGGUGAAAUCCCAGAGCUCAACUCUGGAACUGCCUUUGAUACUGGGUAUCUUGAGUAUGGAAGAGGUGAGUGGAAUUCCGAGUGUAGAGGUGAAAUUCGUAGAUAUUCGGAGGAACACCAGUGGCGAAGGCGGCUCACUGGUCCAUUACUGACGCUGAGGUGCGAAAGCGUGGGGAGCGAACAGG